This 119-nucleotide ribosomal RNA is filed under the name Lepisosteus oculatus (spotted gar). Lineage: Eukaryota; Metazoa; Chordata; Actinopteri; Semionotiformes; Lepisosteidae. The record is from RNAcentral.
GCCAGCAGCCAUAUCACCCCUCAUCUCACAACUGGCAACCCACGGAAGGGAAGCAGGUAUGAGCCUGGUCAGUACCUGGAUGGUGGACCUCCUGGGAAAAACUAGGUUUGCUGCUGGAA